Molecule: ribosomal RNA, 207 nt
Filed under: uncultured bacterium
Lineage: Bacteria
Description: partial 16S ribosomal RNA
Rfam family: Bacterial small subunit ribosomal RNA
Source: RNAcentral
UGCGCAGGCGGUUUUGUAAGACAGAUGUGAAAUCCCCGGGCUUAACCUGGGAACUGCGUUUGUGACUGCAAGGCUAGAGUACGGCAGAGGGGGGUGGAAUUCCGCGUGUAGCAGUGAAAUGCGUAGAUAUGCGGAGGAACACCGAUGGCGAAGGCAACCCCCUGGGCCUGUACUGACGCUCAUGCACGAAAGCGUGGGGAGCAAACA